AAGUCGUAACAAGGUUUCCGUAGGUGAACCUGCGGAAGGAUCAUUACAGAAUAAACUUGAUGGGUUGUAGCUGGCUCUUUCGGGAGCAUGUGCACGCCUGUCACUUUUGUCUUUCCACCUGUGCACUCUUUGUAGGCUUUGGAAUUUGAAAACUAUCUGAAAGCUUUAAACGGCCUUUGGUUUGAGGGAUUGUUGUGCCCUUUUUUGGGUCAGCUUCCCUUGCAGGUUCCAAGUCUAUGUUUUUUUAUAUACCCCCAUAGUAUGUUUUAGAAUGUUAUCAAAGGCCCUAAGUGCCUAUAAAAUUUAUACAACUUUCAGCAACGGAUCUCUUGGCUCUC
Molecule: unclassified non-coding RNA, 338 nt
Filed under: air metagenome
Description: partial contains small subunit ribosomal RNA, internal transcribed spacer 1, and 5.8S ribosomal RNA
Rfam family: Eukaryotic small subunit ribosomal RNA (bases 1-46)
Source: RNAcentral